AUGGCUUUCCUGCCUUCUUCUGUUCUCUCUAGUGAUUUUACAGGACCCCUCCCAACCAUCUUGGAUUCCCGUUAUUGUGCAGUUGUAUGGGCACCCCCUGGUCUGCCACCCACGCUUCAGGAGUUGAAUGGGUGUUUGUCCCUGUGUUGGACUGGAGACCUGUCCAGGGUGUUCCCCGCCCCUCGCCUGGCGACGGCUGGAGAGAGCAGCCCCUACGGCCCCCUAGUGAGGAUUAAGCAGCUUUGCAUCCCCAGAGACCGACGAAGACUCCAAGUGCAAACUGUCUCCACUUGGCUGAGAGCAGCCAAAAGACUGAAGCCUGCCUCUGAAGGACCCAGGGCUGUCUGUGCAAGUGCCAGAGCCACGCUGCCCAAAGUGCCAUACUGCAUACGCUGUGCUCAGCUUGCGGAGCACCAACAGCUUGCGGAGCACCAACAGCCUGAUGGGAAGUACACAGAAAUCAGGUGUGUAGAACGAUGA
Molecule: long non-coding RNA, 480 nt
Filed under: Nothobranchius furzeri (turquoise killifish)
Lineage: Eukaryota; Metazoa; Chordata; Actinopteri; Cyprinodontiformes; Nothobranchiidae
Description: lncRNA (ENSNFUG00015019588.1)
Source: RNAcentral